UUAACGCUAGCGGCAGGCAUAUACAUGCAAGUUGAACGGGAUAAGUUUUAGCAAUAGAACUUUGAGAGUGGCGCACGGGUGCGUAACACGUAUGCAACCUGCCCCAAACAGGAGGAUAGCCUCUCGAAAAGAGAGAUUAAUACUCCAUAAUAAUAUUGUUAGGCAUCUAAUGAUAUUUAAAGCUGAGGCGGUUUGGGAUGGGCAUGCGGUUGAUUAGGUAGUUGGUGAGGUAACGGCUCACCAAGCCAACGAUGUCUAGGGGGUCUGAGAGGAUGUCCCCCCACACUGGUACUGAGACACGGACCAGACUCCUACGGGAGGCAGCAGUAGGGAAUAUUGGUCAAUGGAGGCAACUCUGAACCAGCCAUGCCGCGUGCAGGACUAAGGCCCUAUGGGUCGUAAACUGCUUUUUGAAUGGGAAGAAAUGUAUCUACGUGUAGAUAUUUGACGGUACCAUUAGAAUAAGGAUCGGCUAACUUCGUG
Molecule: ribosomal RNA, 483 nt
Filed under: uncultured bacterium
Lineage: Bacteria
Description: bacterial SSU rRNA
Rfam family: Bacterial small subunit ribosomal RNA
Source: RNAcentral